AGUGGCGACGGGUGAGUAACGCGUGGGUAACCUGCCCUAUGCAGGGGGAUAACAGUUGGAAACGACUGUUAAUACCGCAUAAGCGCACAGUAUCGCAUGGUACGGUGUGAAAAACUCCGGUGGCAUAGGAUGGACCCGCGUCUGAUUUAGGCUAGUUGGUGAGGUAACGGCCCACCAAGGCGACGAUCAGUAGCCGACCUGAGAGGGUGUACGGCCACAUUGGGACUGAGACACGGCCCAAACUCCUACGGGAGGCAGCAGUGGGGAAUAUUGGACAAUGGGGGAAACCCUGAUCCAACGCGACGCCGCGUGAACGAUGAAGUAUUUCGGUAUGUAAAGUUCUAUCAGCAGGGAAGAUAAUGACGGUACCUGACUAAGAAGCACCGGCUAAAUACGUGCCAGCCGCAGC
RNAcentral lists this ribosomal RNA (409 nucleotides) under uncultured bacterium. Its description in RNAcentral is "bacterial SSU rRNA". It matches the Rfam family "Bacterial small subunit ribosomal RNA", at positions 94 to 518 of the family's 1533-position model. The record is from RNAcentral.